CAUCCUGCGGGAGGCAGCAGUGGGGAAUUUUGGACAAUGGGCGAAAGCCUGAUCCAGCAAUGCCGCGUGAGUGAAGAAGGCCUUCGGGUUGUAAAGCUCUUUUGUCAGGGAAGAAACGGUGAGAGCUAAUAUCUUUUGCUAAUGACGGUACCUGAAGAAUAAGCACCGGCUAACUACGUGCCAGCAGCCGCGGUAAUACGUAGGGUGCAAGCGUUAAUCGGAAUUACUGGGCGUAAAGCGUGCGCAGGCGGUUUUGUAAGUCUGAUGUGAAAUCCCCGGGCUCAACCUGGGAAUUGCAUUGGAGACUGCAAGGCUAGAAUCUGGCAGAGGGGGGUAGAAUUCCACGUGUAGCAGUGAAAUGCGUAGAUAUGUGGAGGAACACCGAUGGCGAAGGCAGCCCCCUGGGUCAAGAUUGACGCUCAUGCACGAAAGCGUGGGGAGCAAACAGGAUUAGAAACCCUUGUAGUCCCAUGAU
RNAcentral lists this ribosomal RNA (475 nucleotides) under uncultured organism. RNAcentral describes it as "partial 16S ribosomal RNA". It matches the Rfam family "Bacterial small subunit ribosomal RNA", at positions 335 to 801 of the family's 1533-position model. The record is from RNAcentral.